CUAGCGGCUGCCUCGGGCGCUGGGCGAGGUGCGCGCGGAGGCUCGCCUGCGGUGCGGCUGGGACGCGGGGCUCGCGGGAGGACGUGAGGCGCGCUCGAGUCUCCCACUUCCUCCCCCGACCCGCGGGUCGCGGGCUACGCGCCGCCGACUCUGACUGGGCACCGACCCGGCUCCGGCAGCGCGAGCCUCCGCGGCUCCGGCCAUGGGCAGCUUCCAGCUGGAAGACUUCGCGGCAGGCUGGAUCGGAGGGGCAGCCAGCGUCAUCGUCGGCCACCCUCUAGACACGGUCAAGGUACUGCAGCCAUGUUUGCCACUACCUCUUGGAAAGCGGCCUGGAGUGAGUCUGCCUCCAGGAAUGUGUCUGCUGUUUCUGAUUCCAAGACAGUCUCCAGCCCAGGGCAGAGUCUCUGCGCCAACCCUGGGGGCGUGGGGUGCCAGGGUGCCAGGAGGACUGGUUUGGAAUCCUCGCUGUCCUCUCAUUACUUGGCAGGGAUCUUGUUUUUGUGAAUGCCACAUUUCUGCCUCCAGGUUCUCGUGGGCUGUGGGGGAGGGGGCCAAGGCAAUGGUAAGUAUCCCCGGCCAGUCUCCAUGCAACUAAGGAACCAGGAAAGGCUUCAAUCAUGAGGUGGCCAGAAUUUAAGGUUGGGUUUCAGGUGAUGAGAAAAGAUGUUCCAGGCUCAGCAGCAAGAGCUAAGGCAUCGAGGUGGGGACACUGUGUGGGGGUCACGCUUGGGGAAAAGCCAGCAUGGCCAGUUUGACUGAUGCAUCAGGUUUCUAUAGAUCAGAAUCCAGGAAAGGUGGGUCAGCACUCGAUCCUGGGAGGCCUUCACUAUCAGUUUAGACUGCGGACUUGGGCUGGGAAUAGGAAGCCAUUAUAACUCUAGGAAGCACAGGACAUAUGAGGACUCAACAGGGCCAUCUGGCGUGGGGACCAUCCAUGCCCCUUGUUCCACAGAUGGAGAAACUUGCCCAGAAAGGGAAGGGCUUGCAUGAGGUCAUACCAGGAGUGAAAGUAUCGAGAAGGGAGGGAGUGAGGCACCCUACAAAGGGACAUUCUUUGACUCCACCCCCAUUCCUGCCCCGUCCCCAGUGGUGAGCAGGGCUAGAGAGCCAUCCCCUGGGAGCACAGUCGCAAAUAGUGCCUUCUCACCCCUGACUUGCACAUUCAUAUUUAAAGCUUUGCCUGGAUCGUGCACUAAGAGGAACUUCUCAGGCUCUUCCCAAGUGGCUGCUACAAUCACUUUUCCCCCCGUCUUCUUCCCUGUAGGACAGUGGGCUUCUCCUAUGUCAG
This 1291-nucleotide long non-coding RNA is filed under the name Ursus americanus (American black bear). Its description in RNAcentral is "lncRNA (ENSUAMG00000013745.1)". The record is from RNAcentral. Lineage: Eukaryota; Metazoa; Chordata; Mammalia; Carnivora; Ursidae.